Molecule: ribosomal RNA, 252 nt
Filed under: uncultured bacterium
Lineage: Bacteria
Description: partial 16S ribosomal RNA
Rfam family: Bacterial small subunit ribosomal RNA
Source: RNAcentral
ACGUAGGUGGCGAGCGUUAUCCGGAUUUACUGGGCGUAAAGGGCGUGCAGGCGGUUUGUUAAGUGCAGGGUGAAAGCUCCCGGCUCAACUGGGAGAGGUCCUUGCAUACUGGCGAACUCGAGGGAGGCAGAGGAAAGUGGAAUUCCCGGUGUAGUGGUGAUAUGCGUAGAUAUCGGGAGGAACACCUGUGGCGAAGGCGGCUUUCUGGGCCUUACCUGACGCUGAGACGCGAAAGCGUGGGGAGCGAACCGG